This is a non-coding RNA of Salmo salar (Atlantic salmon), 1116 nucleotides long. NCBI's taxonomy places the organism in Eukaryota, Metazoa, Chordata, Actinopteri, Salmoniformes, Salmonidae. The record is from RefSeq and is a predicted model, not a curated record.
GAAAUGAAUUUGUUAAUUUUGGCAGUGAUGUCAUCCUAAAGUGCAUCAAUAAGACUUGGAGUGAGAAUCUACGUCAUCUGGAAUUGAAACCUGCGUGGGAGAGAGUGUCAAAUAUACAGGGAUUUUGAGAACCGAUACCAGAACACAUGUAAUGACAGCAAACUCCUGCUCAAUGCCUCCACUGGAGAACCCUUCCUGUUUCUUCCCGAAUUUUCCAUCAGGGUUGAGGGAAAGUACCAGUGGGAUAUUGUUUACAAAGGAGGGAGCCACGAUGCACAUUUACAUGUUUUGCCAAUGGAUAAGACAACAUCUCCAUCUGACCUUUUUAGAUUUAGUGUAUUCGUUUGUGAAGGCCUGUGCCUUUUUAGCUUUAUUUUGUUUGUGCUAAAAGCCUGUUCUUUUUCUGACAUAUUCCUUCACAGUUCCAUUGUAAAAUUCAGUGAACACCUUCCUCGCCCCUGUGUUUAGCUCCUCCCAGUGUGUCUUCCUGUCUGGAGUGGGAGGACAGUUGGAGGUGGCUGUGUGUUUAGCUGAAGGGGAAAACCACCUGCCUCCAUCUCCUGGAGGAACACAUGGAACUCUACUUCAACCACAGCCAGCACUAUAGAGACCAUACAGAACCAAGACGGCUCCUACUCUGUGGAGAGACGGUUGGUCCUGCCUGACAGUGGCUCUGAUCUGUGCUGUCAUACACCCCUCCAGGGCAGAGAAGCAUAUUGAGACAAACCUGGCAUUUUGUGGGAAGAAGCAGUCUGGUAAUUUGGGGAUGGACAUCUCUCAUAUCCUUAAGAUUGCAGGCAUCUGCACAAUUCCCAUCCUCCUGACCAUGGCGUAUGUAGUGAGAGGAGGAUGCAAGAAACCAUCUCAGGAAUCAGAAGUGGAACUGAGUGAGCUGAGCAUACAGGAAGCUGACGUAGAACAACGAGGCAGUAUGUGUGAGACUCUAUGAUGAUGUGAUAUAAUCUUCUUUCAAUUGUAUCAGCUGUGUAACAACUAUUUGACUGUAUUUUAAAUAAUAUCUCUUGAGGCAGAAAGUUCAAUGAGACAUUUAUUUCAACUGUAGCUGUUGAAUACAUCUCAGUUACUUAAAUAAAUAAAUACACUACUCAAGAACAG